CCUACGGGAGGCAGCAGUAGGGAAUCUUCGGCAAUGGACGAAAGUCUGACAGAGCAACGCCGCGUGAGUGAAGAAGGUUUUCGGAUCGUACAACUCUGUUGGUAGAGAAGAACGUUGGUGAGAGUGGAAAGCUCAUCAAGUGACGGUAAAUACCCAGAAAGGGACGGCUAACUACGUGCCAGCAGCCGCGGUAAUACGCAGGUCCCGAGCGUUGUCCGGAUUCAUUGGGAGUAAUGCGAGCGCAGGUGGUUUAUGAAGUCUGGUGUAAAAGGCAGUUGAUGAACCAUUGUAUGCAUUGGAGACUGGUAGACUUGAGUGCAGGAGAUGAGAGUGGAAUUCCGUGUGUAGCGGUGAAGUGCGUAGAUAUAUUGAGGAACUCCGAUGGCGAAAGCGGCUCUCUGGCCUGUAACUGACACUGAGGCUCGAAAGCGUGGGGAGCAAACAGGAUUAGAUACCCUAGUAGUC
RNAcentral lists this ribosomal RNA (465 nucleotides) under uncultured Lactococcus sp. RNAcentral's name for it is "bacterial SSU rRNA". It matches the Rfam family "Bacterial small subunit ribosomal RNA", at positions 338 to 795 of the family's 1533-position model. The record is from RNAcentral. Lineage: Bacteria; Bacillati; Bacillota; Bacilli; Lactobacillales; Streptococcaceae.